CCUACGGGACGCAGCAGUGAGGAAUAUUGGUCAAUGGCCGCAGGGCUGAACCAGCCAAGUCGCGUGAGGGAUGACGGUCCUAUGGAUUGUAAACCACUUUAGUAGAGAACGAAAAGGAGCUAUCGAAUAAAUAGCUCUGCUGACGGUACUCUAAGAAUAAGCACCGGCUAACUACGUGCCAGCAGCCGCGGUAAUACGUAGGGUGCGAGCGUUAAUCGGAAUUACUGGGCGUAAAGGGUGUGCAGGCGGCUGAGUAAGACAGAUGUGAAAUCCCCGGGCUUAACCUGGGAACCGCAUAUGUGACU
RNAcentral lists this ribosomal RNA (305 nucleotides) under uncultured bacterium. RNAcentral's name for it is "bacterial SSU rRNA". It matches the Rfam family "Bacterial small subunit ribosomal RNA", at positions 338 to 634 of the family's 1533-position model. The record is from RNAcentral.